UGGGGAAUUUUGCACAAUGGGGGAAACCCUGAUGCAGCGACGCCGCGUGAUUUGGAAGGCCUUCGGGUUGUAAAAAUCUUUUCUAUGGGAAGAAAAUGACAGUACCAUAGGAAUAAGGACCGGCUAAUUACGUGCCAGCAGCCGCGGUAAUACGUAAGGUCCGAGCGUUGUCCGGAAUCAUUGGGCGUAAAGGGUACGUAGGCGGGUAAGCAAGUUAGAAGUGAAAUCCUAUAGCUCAACUAUAGUAAGCUUUUAAAACUGCUCAUCUUGAGGUAUGGAAGGGAAAGUGGAAUUCCUAGUGUAGCGGUGAAAUGCGCAGAUAUUAGGAGGAAUACCGGUGGCGAAGGCGACUUUCUGGCCAUAACCUGACGCUGAGGUACGAAAGCGUGGGUAGCAAACAGG
RNAcentral lists this ribosomal RNA (402 nucleotides) under bacterium. RNAcentral's name for it is "partial 16S ribosomal RNA". It matches the Rfam family "Bacterial small subunit ribosomal RNA", at positions 355 to 776 of the family's 1533-position model. The record is from RNAcentral.